UACGGAGGGUGCGAGCGUUGUCCGGAAUCACUGGGCGUAAAGAGCGUGUAGGCGGCCAGACAGGUCCGUUGUGAAAACUCGAGGCUCAACCUCGAGACGCCGAUGGAAACCGUCUGGCUAGAGUCCGGAAGAGGAGAGUGGAAUUCCUGGUGUAGCGGUGAAAUGCGCAGAUAUCAGGAAGAACACCCGUGGCUAAGGCGGCUCUCUAGUACGGUACUGACGCUGAGACGCGAAAGCGUGGGGAGCGAACAGG
Molecule: ribosomal RNA, 253 nt
Filed under: uncultured bacterium
Lineage: Bacteria
Description: partial 16S ribosomal RNA
Rfam family: Bacterial small subunit ribosomal RNA
Source: RNAcentral